RNAcentral lists this non-coding RNA (118 nucleotides) under Echinops telfairi (small Madagascar hedgehog). The record is from RNAcentral. Lineage: Eukaryota; Metazoa; Chordata; Mammalia; Afrosoricida; Tenrecidae.
GUGCUGUCUGAAAGGAGAGAAGGCUAGCACGCCCUUUGAGAAGGAUGGAAAAGGCCUUACAGCAUGCAUAUGGUUAAGGCAUUGCUACCUACUUUGUGGUGUCUAACCAUGGUUUUCA